Molecule: ribosomal RNA, 464 nt
Filed under: uncultured Weissella sp.
Lineage: Bacteria; Bacillati; Bacillota; Bacilli; Lactobacillales; Lactobacillaceae
Description: bacterial SSU rRNA
Rfam family: Bacterial small subunit ribosomal RNA
Source: RNAcentral
CCUACGGGAGGCUGCAGUAGGGAAUCUUCCACAAUGGGCGAAAGCCUGAUGGAGCAACGCCGCGUGUGUGAUGAAGGGUUUCGGCUCGUAAAACACUGUUGUAAGAGAAGAAUGACAUUGAGAGUAACUGUUCAAUGUGUGACGGUAUCUUACCAGAAAGGAACGGCUAAUACGUGCCAGCAGCCGCGGUAAUACGUAUGUUCCAAGCGUUAUCCGGAUUUAUUAGGCGUAAAGCGAGCGCAGACGGUUAUUUAAGUCUGAAGUGAAAGCCCUCAGCUCAACUGAGGAAUUGCUUUGGAAACUGGAUGACUUGAGUGCAGUAGAGGAAAGUGGAACUCCAUGUGUAGCGGUGAAAUGCGUAGAUAUAUGGAAGAACACCAGUGGCGAAGGCGGCUUUCUGGACUGUAACUGACGUUGAGGCUCGAAAGUGUGGGUAGCAAACAGGAUUAGAUACCCUUGUAGUC